GUCCACCGGUUUUCAGAAUCGCAAAGGAAAAAAAAGGCAUUCUCUCUUCUCCCACCAGCGGCCUCGAUCUGGGAUCGCCAGGGAUGCCGCCGCCGCCGCCACGGAUCCCACGGACGCCGCCUCCGCGGAUCGCGCGGCGCCACCUCGCCGCCACCUCGCCACCGCUGGUCGCCAUGGCGCGGCGUCACCCCGCCGCCACCUCAGCCAAGCGCCGCGCCGCCCAUCCGAACCCUAGCCCGCCCCCUCCGCCCGCCGACGGAUCGCUUCCGCUCCUCCACGCGGCGACCUGCGGCGACCUGCGCCUCUUGAAGAGGCUGGUGAGAGAUCUGGAUCAGGGCAGGGGCCGUCCCAGGGAGGUGGUGGAGGCGGCCAAGGACCAAGGUCUCGUGGCGCUGCACUUCGCUGCCGGGAAGGGAAGGCCACAGGUGUGCAGGUACCUGGUCGACGAGCUAGGGGUCGAUGUGGACGCCGUCGACAAUGGAGAAUUGGGCUAUAGGAAACUGUAUGUUGACCAGCACCAGUUUAUUUUUCGAAAUAAACCGGGGAUUCCGCCAUGCCCCGCGUCAAGUCCGGCUCUAGCGGCUGCUUGUUCUACCGGAGGAAGCACUCAUGGCGCUGCGAUGAGUUAGUGAGCAGGAGCACCCUGCAUCUGCUGGACUUUGAUGACGGUACACCACCAGAAGAUGCUUGGAGAAGAAAAUUAAGUAGUUACGCUAAUAGACUGAAGGAGUUCAAUGUGACGGUCAGAGAAGCAUUUAAAAUGGUAUGAAAAAUGCAAUAGUCAAACAGAGGUACUAACUAUCUGUGUUGUCAUUCUUCUGAAGUCUUGAGGAAGAUGUCCAAAUUAUGUUUUCCCCUUGACCAUCAGAUGAAGCUUGGUCUCCAGCUUUGGUCAUAUGUUCGAGAGGAAGCUUCUCAUGGAAGGAUGUUUAUAACUAGAGAAGGAUGAAGCAAAAGGUACUCCUCCGUUUUAGCUCCUGGCCAGCAUGAUGGUUUAAAGUAUGUUUUUUUCGCCCUGUCAGACAACAGAUUCUUAAUUUCCUGAAAUUUUCUCCAUGGAUGUUCAAUGGAUGCAAAUCUGGAAUGUUCUCUUCGGUCUUUGUAUGAAAGAAUAUAUAUAGCAGUCAUGACACAGUACAACAAUAACAAUUCCUUUCAGCCCCAAACAAGUUGGGGUAGGCUAGAGUUGAAACCCAGAAUAUCUCGUCAUGGUUCUGGCACAUGGAUAGCUAACUUCCAUGCGCCCCUGUCCACGCCGAAGCAAGAAAAAAGUACUACAGGAGAUCUGAUGUACAGGUGAUCACUGAAGCAAAAAAAAGUACAGGAGUUCUGGUGCCAGAUUGUUCACACAAACAUAUCCUUGCCACUUCUACAAGUAAUAUCUUGCAAUAUAUUCUAUGAUGCCUGAUUGUUUAACACAUGGAUUGACAAACGUGUUUUGGCUUGUCAUGUUUCCGAUAAUUUCAGUUAUUGGAACAAAAUAACCAGGGGUACUGGCUAGCUAAUGUUUGGUACUGGACUGGACUUUAUCAGCCAUGAUAAUGAUUUUUUUUUCUAAAGAAAAUGUGAAUUUGAUGCUAGGCUGUUCCCACAAGACCACAGAAUGUUGGUCACAAAAACCAAUCCAGUUCAUUUUAUGCCAGUCACAAAAACCUGUUUGUCUUGUCCUCUCUUCUUCUUCCCGGCAACCUUGGCACAAUUACUGUGAUAUUUUGUUUGUGUUCUUCGACAACCUUUAUAUCACGGGCUGCCUCCACGUCCACCUUCGUCUACGAGCAUAUAUCAUCACCAUGAGGUGCAUACAGCUCAUGUGCAUUCGAAGUUGAUGGAGUGACAAAUCAAGUUUCCAUUGUGAAAUAUAUUAACUAAUGUGUAAGAGAUAUGCUAUCAUUUUAAUUACUAUAUUCUAGCUGUUUAGUUCCUAGCUUUUUCGAUAAUGCAUAUUAAGUAUGUCUUGAAGUAAGCUAUCAUAGUGUAUUAGUUUCUUGUUGUUAAAGACAUUGCAAUUUACAAUGCGUAUGGAUGGUCAAAUUAAGUGCGCCGGCGUGAAAAGGAAAUGCCACACCCGAAGAUCCUUGUACUGUUUAUAAUGCGUAUGCAUUCCUUUACUAUUUUUCACCAUAAGAUCCUUUUAUCACUCAUUAAAAUUUCACAAGUUCUUGCCACACCCGAAGCUUCCGUUCUCGCUGACUUCACCGGAAUGCCUGCACCAUGUUCCACGGUACCAAUUUUUAAUCCUGUGUUUAGGUGCUUCUACAUGAACCCUGUGCAUAGUCUCGAUCACCACCCACCGGGGCAGCUACUUCUGCUGUCAGUAGCACUUUCCUCUGACAUAUGUGUUUUUCUGCCAUUGUGUGCUUCUACAUUAAUCCCGUGUCAUUGUAUUUAGGUUCUCUAAGGCCUAAACUGUGACUUUUCUUAAUUGUAUGUCUUACAACUCAUUUUAUUGUACUAAUUUAUUCAGUUGCACCAUUACUAGGUGGGGAGAGUUUGGGUUCGGAAGGUAGUGGGUGGGAGCGGAGGAAGGAAAGGGGAGAAAGAUGUGCUUUCCUCGCUGCAACGCACGGGCAAUUAACUAUAUUGCUAAUAAUUAUGAGGGCUCCUGCAGUGACACUACUAUUUUUGCAGGUGAAGCGACAACCAAGUUUCCAAGUUUAUGUCAGAAUACAAGAGAAGGGGGUUUAGUAUUUUGUUGAUGGCACAUGUUGGAAGGUCUGCAGGAGGUGCCUUUGAGGACUUGCUCGUCUACUCGAGCUUCACUGUCAGCGAAGUCUCCACUGGGUUGCCUAGAUCUGUCCUGAAUUGCUUCAUUGAUGACAAUUUGGAGAAGGCUCCGCUGACACUUACAAGGAUGUUUUCCUUUGUUAGAAAGACGAGGAUGCGCUGGAGAUAGACAUGGGGUGGUAAGAAAAUGACGAGCUCCUGAUGGUAUUAUGCUUGCUGGUCUGAACCAACAUGUAUUAUGUCAGUUUGUUGUUAAGAGUAUCUUGAAAAUAUAAAGCCACUGGAGGGCCAGUCAUUCGGUACCA
Molecule: long non-coding RNA, 3029 nt
Organism: Triticum aestivum (bread wheat)
Lineage: Eukaryota; Viridiplantae; Streptophyta; Magnoliopsida; Poales; Poaceae
Exons: 7
Source: RefSeq, a predicted model, not a curated record